CGCAAGGUGACUGAGAUCAAGUAAUAAACUGUAAAUUUAUAAACAGGCAAUGCCUUCUUGCUG
RNAcentral lists this transfer RNA (63 nucleotides) under Hutchinsoniella macracantha. RNAcentral describes it as "tRNA-Tyr". Lineage: Eukaryota; Metazoa; Arthropoda; Cephalocarida; Brachypoda; Hutchinsoniellidae. The record is from RNAcentral.